RNAcentral lists this ribosomal RNA (301 nucleotides) under uncultured bacterium. RNAcentral describes it as "partial 16S ribosomal RNA". It matches the Rfam family "Bacterial small subunit ribosomal RNA", at positions 509 to 808 of the family's 1533-position model. The record is from RNAcentral.
CAGCCGCCGCGGAAUACGGAGGGUGCAAGCGUUAAUCGGAAUUACUGGGCGUAAAGCGCACGCAGGCGGUCUGACAAGUCAGAUGUGAAAUCCCCGGGCUUAACCUGGGAACUGCAUUUGAAACUGUCAGGCUGGAGUCUUGUAGAGGGGGGUAGAAUUCCAGGUGUAGCGGUGAAAUGCGUAGAGAUCUGGAGGAAUACCGGUGGCGAAGGCGGCCCCCUGGACAAAGACUGACGCUCAGGUGCGAAAGCGUGGGGAGCAAACAGGAUUAGAUACCCGCGUAGUCCCUGUCUCUUAUACA